Molecule: long non-coding RNA, 430 nt
Organism: Capsella rubella
Lineage: Eukaryota; Viridiplantae; Streptophyta; Magnoliopsida; Brassicales; Brassicaceae
Exons: 5
Source: RefSeq, a predicted model, not a curated record
CAAGUCAACAACAACAACAACAACUAUGGGGAAACCAUUUUUUCAGAAUCCAAGCAUUGUUGAUGAAUAUUAUCUGGUGAAAGUAUUGUUUUCGUGUCUUUGCAAGUGACGGAUGUUCAGAGGACGUUGUCAACAUGGCUCUAAUCUACUAAAGUGGAACUCGACAAGGGACCAGAUUUUAGAUCAAAACUUGUGAACAAAAAGGAUGGUGUUGUUUUCCAACCGACCUAAGUAACAUUGACAAGGAAUUAACAGCUGUUUUCUCAAGGAGAUUGGUCAAUGGACUCUAAGAAGCUGCAAAGUACUAAAAAACAGUCACAGUUGUCUCUUGCCAAUGGCAGUCAUCAGAAAAUUGAAAAGAGAAAAGAGUGUUGAAAACAUAGCUAACUCUACCAAACUCGUUUAGAGAAAUAAAGCUAUCAAAAGGCAA